This 1800-nucleotide ribosomal RNA is filed under the name Triticum aestivum (bread wheat). RNAcentral describes it as "partial small subunit ribosomal RNA". The record is from RNAcentral. Lineage: Eukaryota; Viridiplantae; Streptophyta; Magnoliopsida; Poales; Poaceae.
AUGAAUAAUAAACAUUUAUCAUGUAAUAAGGAAAUAAAUAAUAACUUUAUUAUUGCCUCUAGGGCAUAUUUCCUUCCACUUCCCCUGGGCACUUACGAUGCUAUCCUCAGCAUGGACUGGUUGGAGCAACACAACCCCAUGACAAUAGAUUGGAAGGCGAAGUACAUUCAGUUUCCCACUCCUAUGGGACGGGCUCACCUGUUCGGCCAUGAAGCCAAUUCCACCACUUGCCAUGUGAUCAACAGAGUCCAGGUUCAGAAUCUGCAUCGCCAAGGCUCCCUGUUACAUGUCAUCAUCCUGUAUCGGCUUGAGGAAGGGGCAAACGGCACUCCAACAGAACCUCCUGAGCUGCAACAACUCCUGGCUGAAUUCGAGGAUGUAUUCGGUGAACCUUCAGGCCACCCACCACACCGUGCCUGUGACCAUACUAUACCUGUUGUUCUCAGCGCGCAACCUAUUAACAUCCGACCUUAUCGACACAAACCUGAGCACAAGACAGUGAUUGAGUGUCAAGUGGCGGAAUUGCUUCAGUUCGGUGUGAUCCAACGCAACCAGAGCAACUUCUCUUCGCCUGCCAUUCUAGUCAAGAAGAAGGAUGAGACUUGGCGGUUAUGCAUCGACUACCGCCACCUCAAUGCCAUGACCCGUAUCAGCAAGUUUCCUAUGCCAGUGAUAGAAGAAUUGCUCGAUGAACUCCACGGAGCUAGGUGGUUCUCAAAGCUCGAUCUUCGAGCCGGCUACCAUCAGAUACGGCUGGCUGAGGGCGAGGAGUUCAAAACGGCAUUUCAAACACACUCAUGGACAUGGCAUUAUGAAUUCAAGGUUCUGUCUUUUGGAUUGGCGGGCAGGCCACACGUUCAUCGGUGCUGUGACAGAACAUUACACCCACUCCUCCGGCAUUGUGUCCUCUUGUUCUUCGACGACAUCUUGGUAUUUAGCAAGACAUGGGAAGAACAUGUUGACCACCUCAGGCAAGUCCUCGAGCUGUUGCGUAGAGAUCAUUGGAAGGUCAAGCGCUUCAAAUGUGAAUUCAGCCAGCAACAACUGUCCUAUCUUGGUCACGUCAUCAGCGGCGAAGGGGUAGCUACGGAGCCCAGCAAAAUUCGCGCGGUACAAGCUUGGAACACACCCAAGGAUGCCAAGGAAGUGCGCCAAUUCCUUGGCCUUGCAGGGUACUAUUGUCGUUUCGUCCGCGGGGUUGGAGUGAUAGCCAUGCCUCUAUUCAACCUACUCAAGAAAGGGGUGCCGUUCGUUUGGACAAAUAACACGGCACAUGCGUUUGAGCUGCUCAAGCAACACCUGAUUACAGCCCCAGUACUCGCACUCCCCGAUUUCAACAAGACCUUCACAGUGGAAACAGACGCCUGCGACAAAGGAAUUGGCGCGGUUCUGCAACAGGAUGGCCACCCCAUCGCCUUCAUGAGCAAAAGUCUGAGUCCCAGGUACCAAGGACUGUCCACUUACAAGAAGGAAUACCUCGCGAUCGUCGUCACCGUGGACCAAUGGCGGCCUUACCUUCAACACAGCGAGUUUAUCAUCCACACGGACCAGAAGAGCCUGAUACAUUUGGAGGAGCAAAGGCUCUCAACACCUUGGCAGCAGCGUGCAUUCAUGAAACUACUAGGCCCGCGAUACACCAUUCGUUACAAAAAGGGCACAGAAAACACAGCCGUCGAUGCCCUAUCCAGAGCUCGAUCGCAAGAUCUACUGUUCAACGUCACUUCUUGCCAGCCCUCAUGGCUCGAGGAUGUCAUAGCCAGUUAUAACUGCGAUCCGCAGGCGCGGAAACUGCUGGAGUAG